This 855-nucleotide ribosomal RNA is filed under the name Staphylococcus sp. S2IP14(2011). RNAcentral's name for it is "bacterial SSU rRNA". It matches the Rfam family "Bacterial small subunit ribosomal RNA", at positions 23 to 859 of the family's 1533-position model. The record is from RNAcentral. Lineage: Bacteria; Bacillati; Bacillota; Bacilli; Caryophanales; Staphylococcaceae.
CUCAGGAUGAACGCUGGCGGCGUGCCUAAUACAUGCAAGUCGAGCGAACAGAUAAGGAGCUUGCUCCUUUGACGUUAGCGGCGGACGGGUGAGUAACACGUGGAUAACCUACCUAUAAGACUGGGAUAACUUCGGGAAACCGGAGCUAAUACCGGAUAAGAUUUUGAACCGCAUGGUUCAAUAGUGAAAGACGGCCUUGCUGUCACUUAUAGAUGGAUCCGCGCCGUAUUAGCUAGUUGGUAAGGUAACGGCUUACCAAGGCAACGAUACGUAGCCGACCUGAGAGGGUGAUCGGCCACACUGGAACUGAGACACGGUCCAGACUCCUACGGGAGGCAGCAGUAGGGAAUCUUCCGCAAUGGGCGAAAGCCUGACGGAGCAACGCCGCGUGAGUGAUGAAGGUCUUCGGAUCGUAAAACUCUGUUAUCAGGGAAGAACAAACGUGUAAGUAACUGUGCACGUCUUGACGGUACCUGAUCAGAAAGCCACGGCUAACUACGUGCCAGCAGCCGCGGUAAUACGUAGGUGGCAAGCGUUAUCCGGAAUUAUUGGGCGUAAAGCGCGCGUAGGCGGUUUUUUAAGUCUGAUGUGAAAGCCCACGGCUCAACCGUGGAGGGUCAUUGGAAACUGGAAAACUUGAGUGCAGAAGAGGAAAGUGGAAUUCCAUGUGUAGCGGUGAAAUGCGCAGAGAUAUGGAGGAACACCAGUGGCGAAGGCGACUUUCUGGUCUGUAACUGACGCUGAUGUGCGAAAGCGUGGGGAUCAAACAGGAUUAGAUACCCUGGUAGUCCACGCCGUAAACGAUGAGUGCUAAGUGUUAGGGGGUUUCCGCCCCUUAGUGCUGCAGCUAACGCA